UACAGAGGGUGCGAGCGUUAAUCGGAUUUACUGGGCGUAAAGGGUGCGUAGGCGGUUGAAUGAGUGUGAUGUGAAAGCCCCGGGCUUAACCUGGGAAGUGCAUCGCAAACGAUUUAACUGGAGUAUAUGAGAGGGUGGCGGAAUUUCCGGUGUAGCGGUGAAAUGCGUAGAGAUCGGAAGGAACGUCAAUGGCGAAGGCAGCCACCUGGCAUAAUACUGACGCUGAGGCACGAAAGCGUGGGGAGCAAACAGGAUUAGAAACCCCCGUAGUCC
This 273-nucleotide ribosomal RNA is filed under the name uncultured bacterium. RNAcentral's name for it is "partial 16S ribosomal RNA". It matches the Rfam family "Bacterial small subunit ribosomal RNA", at positions 524 to 796 of the family's 1533-position model. The record is from RNAcentral.